GCCAGGCAUGGUGGCUCAUGCCUGUAAUCCCAGCACUUUGGGAGGCUGAGGCGGGUGGAUCACCUGAGGUCAGGAGUUUGAGACCAGCCUGGCCAACAUGGUGAAACCCCGUCUCUA
Unclassified non-coding RNA from Pongo abelii (Sumatran orangutan), 117 nucleotides. It matches the Rfam family "Metazoan signal recognition particle RNA". Rfam says of the family: The signal recognition particle (SRP) is a universally conserved ribonucleoprotein. The record is from Ensembl. NCBI's taxonomy places the organism in Eukaryota, Metazoa, Chordata, Mammalia, Primates, Hominidae.